This 72-nucleotide transfer RNA is filed under the name Camelus bactrianus (Bactrian camel). It matches the Rfam family "tRNA". From Rfam's summary of the family: Transfer RNA (tRNA) molecules are approximately 80 nucleotides in length. Their secondary structure includes four short double-helical elements and three loops (D, anti-codon, and T loops). Lineage: Eukaryota; Metazoa; Chordata; Mammalia; Artiodactyla; Camelidae. RNAcentral also lists the same sequence under 2 other names. The record is from Rfam by way of RNAcentral.
GAGGGUAUAGCUCAGUGGCAUAGUGUGCAUUCAGCAUGCACAAAGUUUUGGGUUCAAUCCCCAGUACCUCCA